Molecule: ribosomal RNA, 468 nt
Filed under: uncultured bacterium
Lineage: Bacteria
Description: partial 16S ribosomal RNA
Rfam family: Bacterial small subunit ribosomal RNA
Source: RNAcentral
GACGAACGCUGGCGGCGUGCUUAACACAUGCAAGUCGAACGGAAAGGCCCUGCUUUUGUGGGUUUCUCGAGUGGCGAACGGGUGAGUAACACGUGAGUAACCUGCCCUUGACUUUGGGAUAACUUCAGGAAACUGGGGCUAAUACCGGAUAGGAGCUCCUGCUGCAUGGUGGGGGUUGGAAAGUUUCGGCGGUUGGGGAUGGACUCGCGGCUUAUCAGCUUGUUGGUGGGGUAGUGGCUUACCAAGGCUUUGACGGGUAGCCGGCCUGAGAGGGUGACCGGCCACAUUGGGACUGAGAUACGGCCCAGACUCCUACGGGAGGCAGCAGUGGGGAAUAUUGCACAAUGGGCGGAAGCCUGAUGCAGCAACGCCGCGUGCGGGAUGACGGCCUUCGGGUUGUAAACCGAUUUCGCCUGUGACGAAGCGUGAGUGACGGUAAUGGGUAAAGAAGCACCGGCUAACUACGUG